This 487-nucleotide ribosomal RNA is filed under the name Zygethobius pontis. RNAcentral describes it as "partial 16S ribosomal RNA". It matches the Rfam family "Bacterial large subunit ribosomal RNA", at positions 1831 to 2600 of the family's 2925-position model. The record is from RNAcentral. Lineage: Eukaryota; Metazoa; Arthropoda; Chilopoda; Lithobiomorpha; Henicopidae.
CGCUUUUNGAAUUUUAUAAAAAGUAUAGUCUGCCCAAUGAUAAUUGAAUGGCCGCGGUAUUUUGACCGUGCGAAGGUAGCAUAAUAAUUAGUCUAUUAAUUGUAGACUGGAAUGAAUGGCUUUAUGAUUGAAAACUGUCUUUUUACUAAUAUUGAAUUUUAGUUUUAUGUGAAGACGCAUAGAUUUUAUAAAAAGACGAGAAGACCCUAUUAAGCUUUACAGAGAAAUAUUUUUAUAAGAACUUAAAAUAUUAUUUGUUAUGUUGGGGCGACAGAGAAUAUAACUUUCCUUUAUUUAUGAUAAUCUAAUUAAAAUUUACAUGAUCCGUAAUUUACGAUUUAGAGGACAAGUUACUAUAGGGAUAACAGCGUAAUUUCAUCGGAGAGUUCAUAUUGAUGAUGAGGGUUGCGACCUCGAUGUUGAAUUAGGAUACCUUUUAGGUGCAGCAGUUUAUUAAGGUAGUCUGUUCGACUAUUAAAAUCCUACA